AUACGGAGGGUGCGAGCGUUGUUCGGAAUUAUUGGGCGUAAAGAGCAUGUAGGCGGUCUGUUAAGUCUGGUGUGAAAGCCCGGGGCUCAACCCCGGAAGUGCAUUGGAUACUGGCAGACUUGAGUAUGGGAGAGGAAAGCGGAAUUCCGAGUGUAGGAGUGAAAUCCGUAGAUAUUCGGAGGAACCCCAGUGGCGAAGGCGGCUUUCUGGACCAAUACUGACGCUGAGACGCGAAAGCGUGGGGAGCGAACAGGAUUAGAUACCCCGGUAGUCC
RNAcentral lists this ribosomal RNA (274 nucleotides) under uncultured bacterium. Its description in RNAcentral is "partial 16S ribosomal RNA". It matches the Rfam family "Bacterial small subunit ribosomal RNA", at positions 523 to 796 of the family's 1533-position model. The record is from RNAcentral.